This 213-nucleotide long non-coding RNA is filed under the name Homo sapiens (human). RNAcentral's name for it is "HSALNT0118250". Lineage: Eukaryota; Metazoa; Chordata; Mammalia; Primates; Hominidae. The record is from RNAcentral.
AGAUGUUAACUGUGGCAUGACAGUCCGGGAUUCUGGACACGACCUACAUAAUCUUCCUUGUAUCUCUUUGUGACUUGGUUUCCUCAUCUGUAAAAUGAGAAAUGGGGAUCCUGUUUUCUGUCCCAGCCCCCUUCAGGGUGGUUGUGAGAAGCAAAUGAGGCCGCAACAGAGUCAUACUCUGUCAACCCAGGCUGGAGUGCAGCAGCAUGAUCU